This 794-nucleotide ribosomal RNA is filed under the name uncultured archaeon. RNAcentral describes it as "bacterial SSU rRNA". It matches the Rfam family "Archaeal small subunit ribosomal RNA", at positions 85 to 879 of the family's 1478-position model. The record is from RNAcentral.
ACUGCUCAGUAACACGUGGACAACCUGCCCUUUAGGUUGGGUAUAAACCCGGGAAACUGGGUAUAAUACCCGAUAGGUCUCGAUUGCUGGAAUGCAUCGAGAUUUAAAGCUCCGGCGCCUAAGGAUGGGUCUGCGGCCUAUCAGGUAGUAGUGGGUGUAGCGUACCUACUAGCCUACGACGGGUACGGGUUGUGAGAGCAAGAGCCCGGAGAUGGAUUCUGAGACACGAAUCCAGGCCCUACGGGGUGCAGCAGGCGCGAAAACUUUACAAUGCUGGCAACAGCGAUAAGGGAACCUCGAGUGCCAGGUUACAAAUCUGGCUGUCGAGAUGCCUAAAAAGCAUUUCAUAGCAAGGGCCGGGCAAGACCGGCGCCAGCCGCCGCGGUAACACCGGCGGCUCGAGUGGUAACCGUUAUUAUUGGGUCUAAAGGGUCUGUAGCCGGCCGGAUAAGUCUCUUGAGAAAUCUGGCAGCUUAACUGUCAGGCUUUCAGGAGAUACUGUCUGGCUCGAGGCCGGGAGAGGUGAGAGGUACUUCAGGGGUAGGGGUGAAAUCUUGUAAUCCUUGAAGGACCACCAGUGGCGAAGGCGUCUCACCAGAACGGACCUGACGGCAAGGGACGAAAGCUAGGGGCACGAACCGGAUUAGAUACCCGGGUAGUCCUAGCCGUAAACGAUACUCGCUAGGUGUCGGCCACGGUGCGACCGUUGUCGGUGCCGUAGGGAAGCCGUGAAGCGAGCCACCUGGGAAGUACGGCCGCAAGGCUGAAACUUAAAGGAAUUGGCGGGGGAGCAC